This 199-nucleotide long non-coding RNA is filed under the name Malus domestica (apple). RNAcentral's name for it is "long non-coding RNA (MDOM_LNC020975)". Lineage: Eukaryota; Viridiplantae; Streptophyta; Magnoliopsida; Rosales; Rosaceae. The record is from RNAcentral.
UUAAACUCAGAAUCGUGCACACACCUACGUAUAACUUGGUCAGGGCAAUAUUUCCAUAAAUACGGGUCAUCCCAUACAUAAAACCGUGCCUCUUUCUUCAAUUUAUCACCUUGGUGUUUAAGUAAUUCCCUAGGAACAUGUUUAGACACCAAAUAAUUCACCAAAUCAGCAUACCACGGUUCACUUACCUUGACGGACA